GGGGGUGUAGCUCAGUGGUAGAGCGCACGCUUAGCAUGCGCGAGGCUGUGGGUUCAAUUCCUGGCACCUCCA
Hippopotamus amphibius kiboko is the source of this 72-nucleotide non-coding RNA. The record is from the annotation of a RefSeq genome assembly. Lineage: Eukaryota; Metazoa; Chordata; Mammalia; Artiodactyla; Hippopotamidae.